GCCCGGCAUCCCGGGGGCGGGGAGUGGGACGGUGCCUCGCCGCGAGUGCCGAAGGCGGGGAACGGGGCGGGGAAUCUCUGUGCUUCCUCAGUCCCCAGGCCCUGCACCUGCAGGGCCGACCAGCUCCAGUCCGAGGUCCAAUCCUGAGUGGCCAAAAGCCGGAAACCCGGAGCUGGAAUUGGGUCUUGCACAAGCUGGACCACGGAGUGAGGCUACUUGAGAAGCAUCUUAAAGGGGGAGAGAGCAAGUUAAAUCUGAUUUCCACGCAGCUCUGUGGAUUCCGAAUGUCCACGGCAUGAUGUUAUCUCCAGUCCCACUUCCAAGUCGCUGCUGUUCCCUGUGUUUCCUGCACCACCACUCUCUCAGUUGCUCUACACUAAAAUUUGCUGUCAUCGUUGACUUCUCCCUCUCCUUCAUCCCCUACAAGUAUCAACAUAGACAAAUCCGAUCAAUAUAAUCAUCAGUGAAUAAAGCAAAUUGCAGGGCAUAUUCUUAAAGACAGACUUUCCACUUGCAGCAGCACCUACCUUGCAGAGAGCUAAGCUGAAGCCCGUGUUUAUCAUAGCGGAUUCUAACCAGCCAAAGCUGAUAAUGACUAAGAACUUGCAGGAGUUGCAGUAUGCCAGACCUUCAAUUUAAUUGAAGACUUUCCUGAACAAUUAAUAAGGAGACUUGUCUUAACCUGCAGGGAAUGGCUUUAGGGACGCAUUCUUUCCUAUGCAGGUGCAAGCCUAAAACCUUAAUUAGGAUCAUCCACGAUGAUCCUCGAGCCCUUCCCUCACCUUAUAUUUGAAGAGGCUGAACCUCAGAGAAUUAAAUUACCUACAGUCCUGGUCACUGGUAGAGCUAUUAUUUAAAGGAAGGUCUAAUGUUAAAGCCUACAUCCUUAACUCUACCAUAUGCUGCUUCUUGUAGUGUCGUUCCUCAACCAGAACACAUAGCUCUUCUGUGUAGGAAAAGUCCAUCAAAACGUCACAAAUUAAAGAAAUUGGUUUCUGCUCUAUUUCAAUUCGUACCAGAGUAAAUCAAUCAAUGAUUUGUGUUUGGGAAUGUUGCUAGCUGCCAUUAACGUUGUUAAGAGAUAGCUUAGCUUUUCACUGGGGGCCCACUGAGGUAUCAGAAUCCUGAAACACAAAUGUGUCAAAAGGGUGUGAUCAAGACCAUGUCAGGGAAUGUUAAGUUUUUAGUAUUUGGUCACUGAGGCCUAUCAGUAGGUUUGGGUGUUUUGUUUUGUUUUUCCCACAAUGAGGCUUUGAGGAAGAAUUGUGUCUGGUAGACAAACACAGGUACACAAACAAGUGUGUACUCACACAGCAAGAGCAGUAGAGAUCAUCUCCCACAACAGAAGAGCUCAUGAAGAAAGGGAAUUGAGCUUCAAUUUAAGCAUUAGUUUAUCAUUUUUGGAGCCUGAAUGUGUUGAACUUUACAAAUUAACAGGACCCUGAACAAAAAUGUAAAACACAAAUCCCAAGCUGCAGUCCGCCCAGGUAAUUCAUGUCUAUCAAGUGUCUACAAUACCAAUUUCUACAUCUUUGGGAGUAUUUUACAGGUUUGUUUGAAGAGCAAGGUCAAUACCUCUUUCCCCAAGAAAUAAAU
Non-coding RNA from Chlorocebus sabaeus (green monkey), 1596 nucleotides. NCBI's taxonomy places the organism in Eukaryota, Metazoa, Chordata, Mammalia, Primates, Cercopithecidae. The record is from RefSeq and is a predicted model, not a curated record.